This 101-nucleotide small RNA is filed under the name Chinchilla lanigera (long-tailed chinchilla). RNAcentral's name for it is "7SK RNA (ENSCLAG00000020694.1)". It matches the Rfam family "7SK RNA", at positions 3 to 106 of the family's 331-position model. From Rfam's summary of the family: 7SK was discovered as an abundant small nuclear RNA in the mid-70s but a possible function has only recently been suggested. The record is from RNAcentral. Lineage: Eukaryota; Metazoa; Chordata; Mammalia; Rodentia; Chinchillidae.
ACGUGAGGGCGCUGUGCCUGCCACGGCUGUCACCCCCUUGAUCGCCAGGGAUGACUCGGCCCCUGUGGCUGGUGAGGCGGGUGUCCGCUUCCCUUACCGCU